GAGCCACUGACACGCUGACAGCACUAUGAUGAUGUCACUGAUUCUACUGCUGGCCACCCUGGGGCUCCUUGUUCAGGGUUCAUCAGGAGAAAUCAUCCUGACUCAGUCUCCUGGAUCUCAGUCUGUUGUUCCAGGACAGACUGUCUCUAUCACAUGUAAAGCCAGUUCAGAUAUGAGCACCUACCUUCACUGGUACCUUCAGAGACCUGGAGUCUCCCAAACUUUUAAUUUAUUAUGCUACAACUCGUCAGUCUGGUGUUUCAGAUCGUUUCAGUGGAAGUGGAUCUGGGACUGACUUCACUCUGACCAUCAGUGGAGUUCAGACUGAAGAUGCAGGAGUUUAUUACUGUCAGCAGCAUAACAGCCGCCCGUUCACACAGUGA
This is a non-coding RNA of Epinephelus lanceolatus (giant grouper), 383 nucleotides long. NCBI's taxonomy places the organism in Eukaryota, Metazoa, Chordata, Actinopteri, Perciformes, Serranidae. The record is from the annotation of a RefSeq genome assembly.